GAUGAAGAACGCAGCGAAAUGCGAUAAGUAAUGUGAAUUGCAGAAUUCAGUGAAUCAUCGAAUCUUUGAACGCACAUUGCGCCCCUUGGUAUUCCGAGGGGCAUGCCUGUUCGAGCGUCAUUAUAACCCCUCAAGCUCAGCUUGGUGUUGGGGCCUGCUGCACUGGCAGCCCUUAAAAUCAGUGGCGGCGCCAUCUGGCUCUAAGCGUAGUAAUUCUUCUCGCUAUGGAGUCCUGGUGGAUGCUUGCCAUCAACCCCCAAUUUUUCUAUGGUUGACCUCGGAUCAGGUAGGGAUACCCGCUGAACUUACGCAUAUCAAUAAGCGGAGGA
This 329-nucleotide unclassified non-coding RNA is filed under the name soil metagenome. Its description in RNAcentral is "partial contains 5.8S ribosomal RNA, internal transcribed spacer 2, and large subunit ribosomal RNA". The stretch from base 1 to 120 matches the Rfam family "5.8S ribosomal RNA", at positions 35 to 154 of the family's 154-position model. The record is from RNAcentral.